AACGCACAUUGCGCCCGCUAGUAUUCUGGCGGGCAUGCCUGUUCGAGCGUCAUUUCAACCCUCAAGCACCGCUUGGCGUUGGUGGCCUACAGCGUUUCGCUGUAGCCGCCCAAAUCUAGUGGCGGUCCUGCUGUGGCUCCCCCUGCGUAGUAGCUAACACCUCGCAUCGGGUCCAGGCGGCGGCCUGCCGUAAAAGCUAUUUUUUACAGUACAAGGUUGACCUCGGAUCAGGUAGGAAUACCCGCUGAACUUAA
This 254-nucleotide unclassified non-coding RNA is filed under the name uncultured Hypocreales. Its description in RNAcentral is "sequence contains 5.8S rRNA gene, ITS2, 28S rRNA gene". The record is from RNAcentral. Lineage: Eukaryota; Fungi; Ascomycota; Sordariomycetes; Hypocreales.